GAUGAACGCUGGCGGCGUGCCUAAUACAUGCAAGUCGAGCGAACGGACGAGAAGCUUGCUUCUCUGAUGUUAGCGGCGGACGGGUGAGUAACACGUGGAUAACCUACCUAUAAGACUGGGAUAACUUCGGGAAACCGUAGCUAAUACCGGAUAAUAUUUUGAACCGCAUGGUUCAAAAGUGAAAGACGGUCUUGCUGUCACUUAUAGAUGGAUCCGCGCUGCAUUAGCUAGUUGGUAAGGUAACGGCUUACCAAGGCAACGAUGCAUAGCCGACCUGAGAGGGUGAUCGGCCACACUGGAACUGAGACACGGUCCAGACUCCUACGGGAGGCAGCAGUAGGGAAUCUUCCGCAAUGGGCGAAAGCCUAACGGAGCAACGCCGCGUGAGUGAUGAAGGUCUUCGGAUCGUAAAACUCUGUUAUUAGGGAAGAACAUAUGUGUAAGUAACUGUGAACAUCUUGACGGUACCUAAUCAGAAAGCCACGGCUAACUACGUG
Molecule: ribosomal RNA, 497 nt
Filed under: uncultured bacterium
Lineage: Bacteria
Description: partial 16S ribosomal RNA
Rfam family: Bacterial small subunit ribosomal RNA
Source: RNAcentral